GUGCUCCGCGCGUGUCUGUCUGUGUGCACUCGGAUGAAGCACUACCUGCUCUCGCAGCCGCGCACAGCAGGCGGGUCGCCACGUCGUGCAUCCCUCGCGGCGGCACCCGGGCCCACCCACCAGUAGGCAGCGUGAGGGCCGGGCGUGGGAUACGCUCGGGUCGCGCACACACCCCGCCCAUCACAUGGACGGCACGGGCGCGUGCACGGUCACAGGCCGCCCCGACGCAGCGCCAUCCAGGGCCCGGCCGCCGGCAUCCGUGGGGAUACAUCGCUCUGGCCACCCCUACGCCAUAGAUGCUUGGCCCUGUCACCACCAGGGGCUGUUCAGCACUGGCAAGGAUAGAGCGAGAGGGAAGGGGGAGGGGGGGCUGCUCGGCCUCCCAAAAGAGAAGGUGCGCGGUGGACCCUGAGAUGCCACGCACGGAGAUGCCCCUCAUCAUGCGGGGAGAUGAGGCGAAGAGGGAGAGGAAAAAAUGGAGCUGAUAAAAAGGAAGCGAUCGAGUCGGAGAAAGUGAUGCUGCGAGAGGCGGGCAAGGAGGGAGGCGACUGCAUCUUUUCUUUUCGCUUCUUGGGACGCAUGCCGCGCGAAGUGGAUGCUGCGGCUAUUCGGUAGCACUCACAUGUCUUUGUGUGCAUGUGCCUGCACGCUUUUCCUUCUCGACCUUCCUCUCUCUCGUGGGUGGGCCUAAACUGGGUCACCGACUUUACCUUACAUUUUUUUCUCAUGCUGAUGGAGGGAUGGUCGUGGGAUAUGCUUACAAAGACACGGUUAUAGGCACACCCGCACGCGUCGACGGUCGGCGCUCCGUCGUCUCGCAUCAGCUCUUUGAGGGCUUUUUUCGUCGUUACAGCACCACGUCAACGACGUAAACGACAAAAAAGAAAGGGUAGAGCGAGCCUGCAGACACGUAGGAGCACACACACACACACACACACACACACGCUGAUGAGAACAUCACCACUGCGCACUCCUGGCGUUGGCCGGUGAGGAUAGCUGAUGCUGCACCGCGAGCGAGGUUGAGCGCGCUUUGCGCACCGACCUCAUCCCCUUCGCUCCGGCGCAUGCCCACGCCGCACAGCAGGCGAGUUUAGCGUGCUUUAUGGCGCGGCCGCUUCUCACGUGAGUCCCUUGUGUGGGAGAGGGUGGGGUGUGUAGGGGCUACACAGGCUUGCCUUCUCUCUGCUGUGUGAGCGUCCUGCUGGCGAAUGCUCAAGCCCACUCGUAAAGCCUCCUCUCUCUUCUGCUUCCCCCCUUACCGCUUCUUCACUGCAUCCCCUUCAUCACUGCUCCCACCCACUCGUCCUGAUCGUCGUGCGCUUGUGUGCUGUAUUUGCUCUGGCACUUGCGGCGCAUGCAUGCAG
This 1364-nucleotide unclassified non-coding RNA is filed under the name Leishmania donovani. Its description in RNAcentral is "gene:unknown". The record is from RNAcentral. Lineage: Eukaryota; Euglenozoa; Kinetoplastea; Trypanosomatida; Trypanosomatidae.